Molecule: ribosomal RNA, 252 nt
Filed under: uncultured bacterium
Lineage: Bacteria
Description: partial 16S ribosomal RNA
Rfam family: Bacterial small subunit ribosomal RNA
Source: RNAcentral
UUUCUUUGCUGGCGACCGCGCACGGGUGAGUAACACGUAUCCAACCUGCCCUUUACUCGGGGAUAGCCUUUCGAAAGAAAGAUUAAUACCCGAUAGCAUAAUGAUUCCGCAUGGUUUCAUUAUUAAAGGAUUCCGGUAAAGGAUGGGGAUGCGUUCCAUUAGGUUGUUGGUGAGGUAACGGCUCACCAAGCCUUCGAUGGAUAGGGGUUCUGAGAGGAAGGUCCCCCACAUUGGAACUGAGACACGGUCCAA